GGGCCCGUAGCUCAGCUGGACAGAGCACCGGCCUCCUAAGCCGGGUGUCGGGGGUUCGAAUCCCUCCGGGUCCG
Molecule: transfer RNA, 74 nt
Filed under: Candidatus Iainarchaeum sp.
Lineage: Archaea; Nanobdellati; Candidatus Iainarchaeota; Candidatus Iainarchaeia; Candidatus Iainarchaeales; Candidatus Iainarchaeaceae
Also listed under: 1 other name
Description: tRNA-Arg
Rfam family: tRNA
About the family: Transfer RNA (tRNA) molecules are approximately 80 nucleotides in length. Their secondary structure includes four short double-helical elements and three loops (D, anti-codon, and T loops).
Source: RNAcentral